Molecule: ribosomal RNA, 643 nt
Filed under: uncultured bacterium
Lineage: Bacteria
Description: bacterial SSU rRNA
Rfam family: Bacterial small subunit ribosomal RNA
Source: RNAcentral
AGCUUGCUAAAUGGACUCAUGGCGGACGGGUGAGUAACGCGUAAAGAACUUGCCCUUUAUACUGGGAUAACAGAGGGAAACUUCUGAUAAUACUGGAUAAGUUAGUAUAUCGCAUGAUAUGCAAAUGAAAGCUACGGCACUAAAGGAGAGCUUUGCGUCCUAUUAGCUAGUUGGUAAGGUAAGAGCUUACCAAGGCGAUGAUAGGUAGCCGGCCUGAGAGGGUGGACGGCCACAAGGGGACUGAGAUACGGCCCUUACUCCUACGGGAGGCAGCAGUGGGGAAUAUUGGACAAUGGAGGGAACUCUGAUCCAGCAAUUCUGUGUGUGUGAAGAAGGUUUUAGGACUGUAAAACACUUUUAGUAGGGAAGAAAAAAAUGACGGUACCUACAGAAGAAGCAACGGCUAAAUACGUGCCAGCAGCCGCGGUAAUACGUAUGUUGCGAGCGUUAUCCGGAAUUAUUGGGCUUAAAGGGCAUCUAGGCGGUAAGACAAGUUGAAGGUGAAAACCUGUGGCUCAACCAUAGGCUUGCCUACAAAACUGUUGAACUAGAGUACUGGAAAGGUGGGUGGAACUACACGAGUAGAGGUGAAAUUCGUAGAUAUGUGUAGGAAUGCCGAUGAUGAAGAUAACUCACUGGACAG